Molecule: ribosomal RNA, 463 nt
Filed under: uncultured bacterium
Lineage: Bacteria
Description: bacterial SSU rRNA
Rfam family: Bacterial small subunit ribosomal RNA
Source: RNAcentral
GAUGAACGCUGGCGGCGUGCUUAAUACAUGCAAGUCGAGCGAAGCGCUUUAACGGAAUUCUUCGGAAGGAAGAUAAAGUGACUGAGCGGCGGACGGGUGAGUAACGCGUGGGUAACCUGCCUCAUACAGGGGGAUAACAGUUAGAAAUGGCUGCUAAUACCGCAUAAGCGCACAGGACCGCAUGGUCUGGUGUGAAAAACUCCGGUGGUAUGGGAUGGACCCGCGUUGGAUUAGGUAGUUGGUGGGGUAACGGCCUACCAAGCCGACGAUCCAUAGCCGGCCUGAGAGGGUGGACGGCCACAUUGGGACUGAGACACGGCCCAGACUCCUACGGGAGGCAGCAGUAGGGAAUAUUGCACAAUGGGGGAAACCCUGAUGCAGCGACGCCGCGUGAAGGAAGAAGUAUCUCGGUAUGUAAACUUCUAUCAGCAGGGAAGACAAUGACGGUACCUGACUAAGAAGC